AACUUUGAAGUCGAUAUCCUUUAUUGCUAAAUAGAAAGUCAAUCGAUUAACUUUUUCCAUUAUUCGUACAACGACUAAAAUACAAGGAAACAUUGAAAGAAACACUAAAAUCAAAUGAAAAUACAGAUUCAUAGUGGGGACUUGUACUAGAGUUUGUUGCAUUUGCACAAUUAUGUGCAAUUUGCACGUAUUCUACGGAAUAACUAUGUCACAAAAACCAAACAGACAAGAACAACAAACCCAACAAUCGUCGCACUGUUUUCCGGUUUCACAAGUUCUCCCACAAGUUAAAAAGUCAUUAAGACGAGGGAGUAGGCUUCUUUCGAGUCUAAGUCUUGAGAGAUCAUGCUCAACAUUCUGAAUCGCCUCCACUUUAGUACUUGAGAACCAUGGCAAGCUGACUGAAAUAUUUCACAAUCAAAAUUAUCAAAAUCAAAUUAUGAAUAAUAUAACAUGAAUUAAACUCACAUUUUUAAAAAACAUGGAUAGGAACAUAUGUGUAUUUGUGUAUAGACGAAACAUGUACAUCGUCACGUAUGUUCCAUCAUGCAUUUGUAAGCAUAAUAAUAUCAAUUUGAAUGUAGAGUUAAAAAGAGACAGAUACUAACUAGUAGUUGUCAUGAGAAGAACAGUGAGCACAAAACCAAACUUAAGCAACCUCAUGUUAUAUGGAAAUAGUACUUUACACUUCAUGAAAGUUUGCACAUGAGC
This 711-nucleotide long non-coding RNA is filed under the name Nicotiana tabacum (common tobacco). RNAcentral describes it as "long non-coding RNA (NTAB_LNC014705)". The record is from RNAcentral. Lineage: Eukaryota; Viridiplantae; Streptophyta; Magnoliopsida; Solanales; Solanaceae.